UCGUAACAAGGUCUCCGUUGGUGAACCAGCGGAGGGAUCAUUACCGAGUUUUCAACUCCCAAACCCUUUUGUGAACAUACCUAUCGUUGCUUCGGCGGACUCGCCCCAGCGUCCGGCCGGCCCCGCGCCGGCCGCGGCCUGGAUCCAGGCGGCCGCCGGAGACCCCCAAACUCUGUAUUCUCAGUAUCUUCUGAAUCCGCCGCAAGGCAAAACAAAUGAAUCAAAACUUUCAACAACGGAUCUCUUGGUUCUGGCAUCGAUGAAGAACGCAGCGAAAUGCGAUAAGUAAUGUGAAUUGCAGAAUUCAGUGAAUCAUCGAAUCUUUGAACGCACAUUGCGCCCGCCAGCAUUCUGGCGGGCAUGCCUGUUCGAGCGUCAUUUCAACCCUCGACUUCCCUUUGGGGAAAUCGGCGUUGGGGACCGGCCGUAUACCGCCGGCCCCGAAAUGAAGUGGCGGCCCGUCCGCGGCGACCUCUGCGUAGUAAUCCAACUCGCACCGGAACCCCGACGUGGCCACGCCGUAAAACCCCCGACUUCUGAACGUUGACCUCGGAUCAGGUAGGAAUACCCGCUGAACUUAAGCAUAUCAAUAA
This 593-nucleotide unclassified non-coding RNA is filed under the name Samsoniella alboaurantium. RNAcentral describes it as "sequence contains 18S rRNA gene, ITS1, 5.8S rRNA gene, ITS2, 28S rRNA gene". The stretch from base 225 to 378 matches the Rfam family "5.8S ribosomal RNA". The record is from RNAcentral. Lineage: Eukaryota; Fungi; Ascomycota; Sordariomycetes; Hypocreales; Cordycipitaceae.